Molecule: non-coding RNA, 103 nt
Filed under: Prosthecochloris sp. GSB1
Lineage: Bacteria; Pseudomonadati; Chlorobiota; Chlorobiia; Chlorobiales; Chlorobiaceae
Also listed under: 1 other name
Description: Chlorobium bathyomarinum TPP riboswitch aptamer (THI element)
Rfam family: TPP riboswitch aptamer (THI element)
About the family: Vitamin B(1) in its active form thiamin pyrophosphate (TPP) is an essential coenzyme that is synthesised by coupling of pyrimidine and thiazole moieties in bacteria. The previously detected thiamin-regulatory element, thi box was extended, resulting in a new, highly conserved RNA secondary structure, the THI element, which is widely distributed in eubacteria and also occurs in some archaea. Analysis of operon structures identified a large number of new candidate thiamin-regulated genes, mostly transporters, in various prokaryotic organisms.
Source: Rfam by way of RNAcentral
AUAUCAUCUUGGGGGUGCUCCGCGCCGGUACGUGGGGCUGAGAUCAUACCCUUGUAACUUGAUGCAGGUAAUGCUGACGCAAGGAAAAGAUGAAGCCAGUAAA